Molecule: ribosomal RNA, 309 nt
Filed under: Triticum aestivum (bread wheat)
Lineage: Eukaryota; Viridiplantae; Streptophyta; Magnoliopsida; Poales; Poaceae
Description: partial small subunit ribosomal RNA
Source: RNAcentral
AUGACUAGAUGUCAACUUGACAAGGAAAACUUUUGUGGAGCAGAUGGUACACUGGUUAUUUCACAGGACAAGUGUUGUCUCUAUUCUAGUAUAUGUGCAUAUGUACAAUCUUGUUACAAGAUCCUUAACAUUACACAGGGGCAAUAUACAGUGGAUACAUUAUUGUGUAUUUGGGGUUGCAAGCAAACUACGCAUAUAUGUAGAUAUCUGCUCCUAAAUGAAAAAAAUCCGCCAAUUCAUUGGAUGUACAACAGUCUGAAUUGGAGCGAGAUGGGGGCUUCCUUCCAAGUCACUAAGAUUAUUCCUUAA